UGUCAUUUAACUUUUAACUUAUUUGUUAAAAUUUUAAGAAAAUAAUUUAUUCAGGGUUGUUUCAUAAAAAAAAAACAUACAUUGUACCCAGGGAAGGCACUUUAUUUUUUACUUAGGGUUAUCACCUAUAGAAGCAGUUUUAGAAAAUCACUUACAUUUUCAAUUUACAAAAAUGUAUUUGACGAUCACAUCUUGUUGAAAUGACAAAGUGCCUUCCCUGUGUCCUGCUGAUGUUUUAAUGGAACAGCCCUUAGAUCAAACAUGUAUGUACAGAACAGAUGGAUAAAAACACCUAGUGAAAGCGAUUUAGCUUAUUAUAUGUUGACCUUUAAUUUUACAUACUGUAUUUUAUUGUGAUAAUUUUGCAGACAACAGUCAUACAUUUAACUGAUCCAAAUAAAAUACUUCGGACUUCUAAAAUGUUUUGGUUUUCAGGCACAAAAAAUAGCAAAUUUUGAAUAGAAUCUCAAUUCUCUACUUCAAUGACAAUGAUAAUUAUAUCAAUUUAGAUAUUAUGUAUGUGUGAAGUUAAAAUAACAAAAAGAACAUAUGUACCCCUAUAGGAAUUUGAAUUUGUUUUUAGAAACCAUGUGAUCAAAAUUAAUACCAGGAGUCCAUUCCAGAUUUUUAAUUAGUUGUUAGAAUCAUGUGAUCAAAAUAGAUACAUAAAGAGUCUAUUCCAAAUUUUUAAUUGGUUGUUGGAAUCAUGUGAUCAGAUUUGAUUCAUAGACUAUUCCAGUUAUAAGUAUGCAUGCAAAUUUUCAACACCUCAUAAACACUUGACCUGUUCAUGAACUUUUAAGUUCAGGAAAAUUUAAAUCCUACUGACCUCAAAUUUGUGCCAGUUGACCUAAUCAAAAAAACACUUUUGGUCUGCGACUUCAAAUAUUUCUCAUUAUGUUCAUGUUAAAAAAUUGUGCGAGAAUUUUUUUUCUCUUGAGUCUUGGCGCCAGAAAAAGUCAAAAUUGUUGUAUACAUUUCAAUGCAGUAUCACAUAGCUCGAUCUUGUAAUUUAAUAGCAAUGACAUUAUUUGGUGCAAAAUUAUGUGUAUUAAUGUUGAUAAACCAAGUUUUUCUAACAAUGACAAUGUUACAGAGAUUUUCAGGGUUGUCUCAAAAUCCUUACACUUUAUAAACUAUAGUGUAAAGGUCUAACAGAUCAAAUAUGAUUUCGUCUCAGUGAAAGAAUUAAACAAGGAUUGUUUUUUUCUACAUUUAUUUUUUACAGGGACAAUGCAAACAAUAAAAUGAUUUUUUUUUUAAUUUUUAAUUUGUAUCUUAGAUUUUAGUUUUGUUUUAGUUAGUGUAAAUAUUUAGCAAAGUGUGUUGUUUUAUUAUUGAUUUUUAUUUUUAUUUUAUAGUGUGCUAAUUUUAAUAUUAAGGAUGUACUUAGGUGAGGUUAGGUGAAAAUUAAUAAAUUAAGAAGU
This 1427-nucleotide long non-coding RNA is filed under the name Mytilus galloprovincialis (Mediterranean mussel). The record is from RNAcentral. Lineage: Eukaryota; Metazoa; Mollusca; Bivalvia; Mytilida; Mytilidae.